This 457-nucleotide long non-coding RNA is filed under the name Oryza sativa Indica Group (long-grained rice). Its description in RNAcentral is "lncRNA OsZS97_07G027840". Lineage: Eukaryota; Viridiplantae; Streptophyta; Magnoliopsida; Poales; Poaceae. The record is from RNAcentral.
AUGGAUCGCGUCGGCGAUGAGCAGUGUUUGAUCGUUGGAGCACUUGCAAUACUAGCUUGUGGGUCAGUGUUUGUAGGCUCCAAAGGGUUCAGCUCAGUUUCAUUCAAGAAAAGAAGAACAAAAAAGAAUGAAAAAGAUGGCUGCGAGACAGGGCUAGUGGUGAAAGCUACUACUAAAUUUAUCUUCGUGUGGAAUUUCACCAUCGUCCUGUCUGCACGAUUGGUGAUUACAGGAAGCACAGCAAAGUUAGAAGGGGAUAAGAGAGUGUGGCCACCAAUGAUGGUUCUGAAGUUGAUAGGGCACCAACAACCAGUAGCAUGUAGCAGUAGUUUUUCAAGCAUGCUACUCUAUUACCUAUCAUUAGAUCUUAGUGGUUUCCACGCCAUCCUUGGUCAUUACAAACGGGGAUUCAGUUCUCCUCUGAAUAACAAGUGGCACAAUCCUUAAGCCUGUCCAA